CUUUUAGCUUUUCCGAAAGUCUAGUGGCGAAAGGGUGAGUAACACGUGGGAAACCUGCCCUCGAGAUCGGGAUAACCCCGCGAAAGCGGGGCUAAUACCGGAUACGUUUUAGUGCUGAAAUGCAUUAAAGGAAAGUUGGGGAUCCGCAAGGACCUAACACUCUUGGAUGGGCCCGCGGCCUAUCAGCUAGUUGGUGAGGUAAUGGCUCACCAAGGCUAAGACGGGUAGCUGGUCUGAGAGGAUGGUCAGCCACACUGGGACUGAGACACUGCCCAGACACCUACGGGUGGCUGCAGUCGAGAAUCUUUCGCAAUGGGGGAAACCCUGACGAAGCGACGUCGCGUGCAGGAUGAAGGUCUUCGGAUUGUAAACUGCUGUCGGCUGGGAAGAAAAAGUUGCUAGUGAACAAUUAGCAACCUUGACGGUACCAGCAAAGGAAGCCACGGCUAACUCUGUGCCAGCAGCCGCGGUAAUACAGAGGUGGCGAGCGUUGUUCGGAUUUAUUGGGCGUAAAGGGUCCGUAGG
Molecule: ribosomal RNA, 525 nt
Filed under: uncultured bacterium
Lineage: Bacteria
Description: bacterial SSU rRNA
Rfam family: Bacterial small subunit ribosomal RNA
Source: RNAcentral